This 277-nucleotide ribosomal RNA is filed under the name uncultured Pseudomonas sp. Its description in RNAcentral is "partial 16S ribosomal RNA". It matches the Rfam family "Bacterial small subunit ribosomal RNA", at positions 1105 to 1382 of the family's 1533-position model. The record is from RNAcentral. Lineage: Bacteria; Pseudomonadati; Pseudomonadota; Gammaproteobacteria; Pseudomonadales; Pseudomonadaceae.
UUGUCCUUAGUUACCAGCACGUUAUGGUGGGCACUCUAAGGAGGACUGCCGGUGACAACCGGAGGAAGGUGGGGAUGACGUCAAGUCAUCAUGGCCCUUACGGCCUGGGCUACACACGUGCUACAAUGGUCGGUACAAAGGGUUGCCAAGCCGCGAGGUGGAGCUAAUCCAUAAAACCGAUCGUAGUCCGGAUCGCAGUCUGCAACUCGACUGCGUGAAGUCGGAAUCGCUAGUAAUCGUGAAUCAGAAUGUCACGGUGAAUACGUUCCCGGGCCUU